Molecule: non-coding RNA, 91 nt
Organism: Mycena leptocephala
Lineage: Eukaryota; Fungi; Basidiomycota; Agaricomycetes; Agaricales; Mycenaceae
Source: the annotation of a GenBank genome assembly
GCACCGAUGGUGUAUGGUACACGCGCCGAUACAAUGUGAGCAAAGAUACUACUUACAACGGCAAGCUGGGGUUCGAUUCCCCGUCGGUGCG